CCUACGGGAGGCUGCAGUGGGGGAUAUUGCACAAUGGGGGGAACCCUGAUGCAGCGACGCCGCGUGGGUGAAUACGCGCCUCUGCGCGUAAAGCCCUGUCAGCAGGGAAGAAAAUGACGGUACCUGCCGACGAAGCCCCGGCUUACUACGUGGCAGCAGCCGCGGUAAUACGGAGGGGGCAAGCGUUAUCCGGAUUUACUGGGUGUAAAGGGGGCGCAGGCGGGGAUGUUAGCCAGGAGGGAAAGUCCGGGGCCCAACCCCGGGACUGCCCGUGAAACUGCGGGUCUUGAGUGCAGGAGGGGUAGGCGGAAUGCGUGGUGUAGCGGUGAAAUGCGUAGAUAUCACGAGGAACCCCGGUGGCGAAGGCAGCCUGCUGGUGUGCAACUGACGUUGAGGCCCGAAAGCGUGGGUAUCGAACAGGAUUAGAUACCCGAGUAGUC
Molecule: ribosomal RNA, 440 nt
Filed under: uncultured bacterium
Lineage: Bacteria
Description: partial 16S ribosomal RNA
Rfam family: Bacterial small subunit ribosomal RNA
Source: RNAcentral